RNAcentral lists this long non-coding RNA (332 nucleotides) under Numida meleagris (helmeted guineafowl). Its description in RNAcentral is "lncRNA (ENSNMEG00000001684.1)". Lineage: Eukaryota; Metazoa; Chordata; Aves; Galliformes; Numididae. The record is from RNAcentral.
ACACCCUCUAAACUAAAAUGUUUAUAUGGAGGAUUAUCCUGUGAGAAGAUAUGAAAACCUCCACAGUAUCAACACUAAGACAUAAAAUCUCCAAAACAAAUUUGAUUUUCUGUAUGCUAAAGAAUCUGAGUUCACUUCUGUUCAGAGUAAUUGAACAAGAUGAUGAAACAAAAGUCAAGAUUUCUCAUGGAAUUACAUGCAGAAUGAGGAAGGAACCUCUUUAUCAUACAGGAUUUCCAGAGGACAUUAAGCCAAAGCAGCCUGGUGGUUUCUGUAUGACAGCAUCUCUGUGCAACUCAAUGCAUAGAAGCAAACUUCCUAGAAAAAAAUGA